This 2242-nucleotide long non-coding RNA is filed under the name Amborella trichopoda. RNAcentral's name for it is "long non-coding RNA (ATRI_LNC004917)". Lineage: Eukaryota; Viridiplantae; Streptophyta; Magnoliopsida; Amborellales; Amborellaceae. The record is from RNAcentral.
CGGCCUAUCCACAAAAUUACAAUAUUCAUCAGAAUGACAUUGUGGCAUUGCCACCAAACACGUACAAUCAAAAGAUUCCUGAACAAAACUCGAGCUUCAAAAGUCUGCUACCACCGUCCAGCUGUCCACAUACGAGCUAUCGGUUCUCACUCUACAUAGAAGGGAAAAAGAGAGGUAUGAGCUAAAAGCCCAAUAAGUAAAUCAGUAUUCUUGCCUAAAUGCACACAUAAAGGAUAAUAGGCCCACAAAUUAUUACAUGUCAUGCGGUGUCAAAGAACAAGGGCAUGCAUCAGAGUAUACUGGCGGAAUAAACAAAGUAAAGUUCAUGUAUUAAAAUUCACUCAUUUACAUGAGCUAAUAGUUCCAUGAACAUUUCUCAAAAUCACAUAGUCAGACAGCUAAAGUAUAUAGUUCAUAUGGAUAGAAACUAGUAGUGCCUACUCCUGAAGUAGAAGCCCCAUCGAUCAAACUAAGCCAGUCUUGUAACUUGGGACUUCUACCCUCAUUCAAGAGGGAGGACAAUGACAAAUGGAGGUCAAUUUCGUAAUGUCCUUACUCACACACACAAUCCCCAGCGUGCUUUGGGGAGUUCUGAUAGGCUGAGGCCUUGCAAGACAUGACCCUCUCCAUGCACCUUCAGGCGAGAGGGCGUUGCACCACCAUUGGAGGACCCAAUGCAUAGUGCCUAUAACAAAUUGAAGAGCGCGACCCACUCCUAUCAUUGGAGUCUAGGCAAAGUCAGAACUUGUCGGCAUUACAGUAUCCACUACCAAUGGAAGACCCACUAUGUAGUGGUCAGAAUUCACAUGUAUCAAUUCCAUAUAACAGAAUCACAGUAUCUACUACCAAUGGAGGAUCCAUUGCGUAGUGGCUAGAAAUCACAUUUAUCAGUUUCAUAUAACAAAAUCACAAUAUCCACUACCAAUGGAGGACCCAUUGCGUAGUGGCCAGAAAUCACAUAUAUCAGUUUCAUAUAACAGAAUAAUAAUAUCCACUACCAAUGGAGGACCCAUUGCGUAGUUACUAGAAAUCACAUAUAUCAGUUUCAUAUAACAGAGAAUUUCAAUCACCUUGCAAAAGGAUUAAGCUAUGUUUGAAACAUCAAUGCAUGACAUGUGCAUAAUUCAUAUACAACUUAAAAUUCAUUGUUGUUCUUAUCAAUCAUGGGUAUAUAUAGAAUGAGGCAUAGCACCUAAAAUAUGAGGGGAAAUUUUAACUAAAUUCAUAUUCCAAUUCGCUAACUCAGUAUUACUUGAUCAAUUAAGGGUUUAGUAUAUCGCUCUGAAUCUUGUUGAAUUCUGUCAAUAGUGACAUAUGUUCAUAAUUCAAAUCAUAGCUUUCAACUAAGCAGAAAUUUCGAAACAAUUUUAACAUACAACUUUUAGCAGACAUUCGAAGCUCUCAAAUGGCUGUGGUUUCUGAGUAAUUGGACUCCAUUUGGUCGGCCAAAAUUCAUGGCAACAAAGGCUAAAAUUCUGAGUUUCUGUGAGAUCUAUUAACAGUGACAUACUGGAACAUUUUUUAGCAUAGCUCCUUAUUUACACAGAAUUUGAGCAAGGUUAAAACAUGAAAAUCAUAAGACUCAUGCAUCUAUCAAAUGGCUAUGUUUUUGUGUUAUUCGGACUUCAAUAGUUCAUGCAAAGUUUUAAUAUAGUAGAAACAAUAUUUCUGGAAAUUAUCACAGUUUGCUAACAGUAGCAUAUGAACAUAAAAUGAAACACAUCUUCCAAACUAUCAAGAAUCUUAAAACAUCAAACUCAAAGUUGUCUCAGAGAUAUUUUCAAUGGUGGUAAUUUGAGGCAAUUCUGAGAUCAUUUGAUACAUCAACAAAGAGUCACAAAAAUCUCAAUUCUCCUUGAAAGUCCACAGUCCAACCAUGACACACUUCCAUCUCCUAACUCUUAGUCUAUACAAGGUAACAACAUGAAGUCAAUUCUAGCUUAAACUAGACUCACUAGAGUAUCGACCCACAAAAUUUUAGGGCCAUCAAAGGGAUUUCAGUACUCAUUUUCAUCAUGCAAAAGAAGGCAAACUUUCUUAAGAAUACAAUCAUCAUUUUUGCACAUGCUUAUGUUCAAACUAUGCUCAAACCGUGCUUCAUUCAUGUUUUCAUGCUCAUGGGUCUGCAAGGCAGUGAUCUACUUACCUUUGUGUCCCAAUGGUGAUCCUAAUCUCCUUCCACAGUACACUUCACGAAGCUUUUCAAGCUCUUCAAUAAUGGCACUAAAGGGCUGAACAUGGG